Molecule: ribosomal RNA, 701 nt
Filed under: Micrococcus luteus
Lineage: Bacteria; Bacillati; Actinomycetota; Actinomycetes; Micrococcales; Micrococcaceae
Description: bacterial LSU rRNA
Rfam family: Bacterial large subunit ribosomal RNA
Source: RNAcentral
CAGGUUGAUAUUCCUGUACCACCUCUUUUCCGUUUGAGCAAUGGGGGGGACGCAGGAGGAUAGGGUAAGCGCACUGCUGGAUAUGUGCGUCUAAGCAGUUAGGCUGAUGAUGAGGAAAAUCCCGUCAUCGUGAAGGCUGAGCUGUGACAGCGAGCGAAUUAUAGUAGCGAAGUUCCUGAUUCCACACUGCCAAAGAAAAGCCUCUAGCGAGGAAAAAGGUGCCCGUACCGCAAACCGACACAGGUAGGCGAGGAGAGAAUCCUAAGGUGAGCGAGAGAACUCUCGUUAAGGAACUCGGCAAAAUGACCCCGUAACUUCGGGAGAAGGGGUGCUCUUUGGGGUGCAUAGCCUCGAAGAGCCGCAGUGAAUAGGCCCAGGCGACUGUUUAGCAAAAACACAGGUCUCUGCGAAGCCGUAAGGCGAAGUAUAGGGGCUGACGCCUGCCCGGUGCUGGAAGGUUAAGAGGAGUGCUUAGCGCAAGCGAAGGUGCGAAUCGAAGCCCCAGUAAACGGCGGCCGUAACUAUAACGGUCCUAAGGUAGCGAAAUUCCUUGUCGGGUAAGUUCCGACCCGCACGAAAGGCGUAACGAUCUGGGCACUGUCUCAACGAGAGACUCGGUGAAAUUAUAGUACCUGUGAAGAUGCAGGUUACCCGCGACAGGACGGAAAGACCCCGUGGAGCUUUACUGUAGCCUGAUAUUG